Molecule: unclassified non-coding RNA, 253 nt
Filed under: uncultured Flavobacteriaceae bacterium
Lineage: Bacteria; Pseudomonadati; Bacteroidota; Flavobacteriia; Flavobacteriales; Flavobacteriaceae
Description: contains 16S-23S intergenic spacer region
Rfam family: Bacterial small subunit ribosomal RNA
Source: RNAcentral
UACGGAGGAUCCAAGCGUUAUCCGGAAUCAUUGGGUUUAAGGGGUCCGUAGGCGGCCCGAUAAGUCAGUGGUGAAAUCUCCCGGCUCAACCGGGAAAUGGCCAUUGAUACUGUCGGGCUUGAAUUAUUAGGAAGUAACUAGAAUAUGUAGUGUAGCGGUGAAAUGCUUAGAUAUUACAUGGAAUACCGAUUGCGAAGGCAGGUUACUACUAAUUGAUUGACGCUGAUGGACGAAAGCGUGGGUAGCGAACAGG